UGGGGGAUAUUGCACAAUGGGGGAAACCCUGAUGCAGCAACGCCGCGUGAGGGAAGACGGUUUUCGGAUUGUAAACCUUUGUCUUUGGUGAAGAAGAAAGUGACGGUAGCCAAGGAGGAAGCCACGGCUAACUACGUGCCAGCAGCCGCGGUAAUACGUAGGUGGCAAGCGUUGUCCGGAAUUACUGGGUGUAAAGGGAGCGUAGGCGGGAUUGCAAGUUGAAUGUUAAAACUAUCGGCUCAACUGGUAGUUGCGUUCAAAACUGCAAUUCUUGAGUGAAGUAGAGGCAGGCGGAAUUCCUAGUGUAGCGGUGAAAUGCGUAGAUAUUAGGAGGAACACCAGUGGCGAAGGCGGCCUGCUGGGCUUUUACUGACGCUGAGGCUCGAAAGUGUGGGGAGCGAACAGGAUUAGAUACCCUGGUAGU
Molecule: ribosomal RNA, 424 nt
Filed under: uncultured Oscillospiraceae bacterium
Lineage: Bacteria; Bacillati; Bacillota; Clostridia; Eubacteriales; Oscillospiraceae
Description: bacterial SSU rRNA
Rfam family: Bacterial small subunit ribosomal RNA
Source: RNAcentral